This 1530-nucleotide ribosomal RNA is filed under the name Klebsiella pneumoniae Kb677. Its description in RNAcentral is "bacterial SSU rRNA". It matches the Rfam family "Bacterial small subunit ribosomal RNA". Lineage: Bacteria; Pseudomonadati; Pseudomonadota; Gammaproteobacteria; Enterobacterales; Enterobacteriaceae. The record is from RNAcentral.
AGAGUUUGAUCAUGGCUCAGAUUGAACGCUGGCGGCAGGCCUAACACAUGCAAGUCGAGCGGUAGCACAGAGAGCUUGCUCUCGGGUGACGAGCGGCGGACGGGUGAGUAAUGUCUGGGAAACUGCCUGAUGGAGGGGGAUAACUACUGGAAACGGUAGCUAAUACCGCAUAACGUCGCAAGGACCAAAAGUGGGGGACCUUCGGGCCUCAUGCCAUCAGAUGUGCCCAGAUGGGAUUAGCUAGUAGGUGGGGUAACGGCUCACCUAGGCGACGAUCCCUAGCUGGUCUGAGAGGAUGACCAGCCACACUGGAACUGAGACACGGUCCAGACUCCUACGGGAGGCAGCAGUGGGGAAUAUUGCACAAUGGGCGCAAGCCUGAUGCAGCCAUGCCGCGUGUGUGAAGAAGGCCUUCGGGUUGUAAAGCACUUUCAGCGGGGAGGAAGGCGUUAAGGUUAAUAACCUUGGCGAUUGACGUUACCCGCAGAAGAAGCACCGGCUAACUCCGUGCCAGCAGCCGCGGUAAUACGGAGGGUGCAAGCGUUAAUCGGAAUUACUGGGCGUAAAGCGCACGCAGGCGGUCUGUCAAGUCGGAUGUGAAAUCCCCGGGCUCAACCUGGGAACUGCAUUCGAAACUGGCAGGCUAGAGUCUUGUAGAGGGGGGUAGAAUUCCAGGUGUAGCGGUGAAAUGCGUAGAGAUCUGGAGGAAUACCGGUGGCGAAGGCGGCCCCCUGGACAAAGACUGACGCUCAGGUGCGAAAGCGUGGGGAGCAAACAGGAUUAGAUACCCUGGUAGUCCACGCCGUAAACGAUGUCGAUUUGGAGGUUGUGCCCUUGAGGCGUGGCUUCCGGAGCUAACGCGUUAAAUCGACCGCCUGGGGAGUACGGCCGCAAGGUUAAAACUCAAAUGAAUUGACGGGGGCCCGCACAAGCGGUGGAGCAUGUGGUUUAAUUCGAUGCAACGCGAAGAACCUUACCUGGUCUUGACAUCCACAGAACUUUCCAGAGAUGGAUUGGUGCCUUCGGGAACUGUGAGACAGGUGCUGCAUGGCUGUCGUCAGCUCGUGUUGUGAAAUGUUGGGUUAAGUCCCGCAACGAGCGCAACCCUUAUCCUUUGUUGCCAGCGGUCCGGCCGGGAACUCAAAGGAGACUGCCAGUGAUAAACUGGAGGAAGGUGGGGAUGACGUCAAGUCAUCAUGGCCCUUACGACCAGGGCUACACACGUGCUACAAUGGCAUAUACAAAGAGAAGCGACCUCGCGAGAGCAAGCGGACCUCAUAAAGUAUGUCGUAGUCCGGAUUGGAGUCUGCAACUCGACUCCAUGAAGUCGGAAUCGCUAGUAAUCGUAGAUCAGAAUGCUACGGUGAAUACGUUCCCGGGCCUUGUACACACCGCCCGUCACACCAUGGGAGUGGGUUGCAAAAGAAGUAGGUAGCUUAACCUUCGGGAGGGCGCUUACCACUUUGUGAUUCAUGACUGGGGUGAAGUCGUAACAAGGUAACCGUAGGGGAACCUGCGGUUGGAUCACCU